This 253-nucleotide unclassified non-coding RNA is filed under the name uncultured Bacteroidota bacterium. RNAcentral's name for it is "uncultured Bacteroidetes bacterium contains 16S-23S intergenic spacer region". It matches the Rfam family "Bacterial small subunit ribosomal RNA", at positions 524 to 776 of the family's 1533-position model. Lineage: Bacteria; Pseudomonadati; Bacteroidota. The record is from RNAcentral.
UACGGAGGGUGCAAGCGUUGUCCGGAAUCACUGGGUGUAAAGGGUGUGUAGGCGGAGCUUCAAGUCAGAGGUGAAAGCCCACGGCUUAACCGUGGAAUUGCCUUUGAUACUGUAGCUCUUGAGUUCCGGAGGGGUGGCUAGAAUUCGUGGUGUAGCGGUGAAAUGCGUAGAUAUCACGAGGAAUACCAGAGACGUAGGUGGGCCACUGGACGGAAACUGACGCUGAGGCACGAAAGCGUGGGGAGCAAACAGG